Molecule: ribosomal RNA, 465 nt
Filed under: uncultured bacterium
Lineage: Bacteria
Description: partial 16S ribosomal RNA
Rfam family: Bacterial small subunit ribosomal RNA
Source: RNAcentral
CCUACGGGAGGCAGCAGUAGGGAAUCUUCCACAAUGGGUGCAAGCCUGAUGGAGCAACACCGCGUGAGUGAAGAAGGGUUUCGGCUCGUAAAGCUCUGUUGUUGGAGAAGAACGUGCGUGAGAGUAACUGUUCACGCAGUGACGGUAUCCAACCAGAAAGUCACGGCUAACUACGUGCCAGCAGCCGCGGUAAUACGUAGGUGGCAAGCGUUAUCCGGAUUUAUUGGGCGUAAAGCGAGCGCAGGCGGUUGCUUAGGUCUGAUGUGAAAGCCUUCGGCUUAACCGAAGAAGUGCAUCGGAAACUGGGCGACUUGAGUGCAGAAGAGGACAGUGGAACUCCAUGUGUAGCGGUGGAAUGCGUAGAUAUAUGGAAGAACACCGAUUGCGAAGGCAGCAUACCGGCGCCCGACUGACGCUGAGGCACGAAAGCGUGGGUAUCGAACAGGAUUAGAUACCCGGGUAGUC